GCCGCGGUGGCGGAAUUGGUAGACGCGCAGGACUUAAAAUCCUGUAUGGGUAAUACCAUGUGAGGGUUCGAUUCCCUCCCGCGGCACCA
Molecule: transfer RNA, 89 nt
Filed under: Candidatus Peregrinibacteria bacterium
Lineage: Bacteria; Candidatus Peregrinibacteriota
Also listed under: 4 other names
Description: tRNA-Leu
Rfam family: tRNA
About the family: Transfer RNA (tRNA) molecules are approximately 80 nucleotides in length. Their secondary structure includes four short double-helical elements and three loops (D, anti-codon, and T loops).
Source: RNAcentral